UACAGAGGGGGCGAGCGUUGUUCGGAAUUACUGGGCGUAAAGGGCGCGUAGGCGGCCUCUUAAGUCGAACGUGAAAUCCCCGGGCUCAACCCGGGAACUGCGUCCGAUACUGGGGGGCUUGAAUCCGGGAGAGGGAUGUGGAAUUCCAGGUGUAGCGGUGAAAUGCGUAGAUAUCCGAAGGAACAUCAGUGGCGAAAGCGGCUUCCUGGACCAGAACUGACGAUCAGGCACGAAAGCGUGGGGAGCAAACAGG
Molecule: ribosomal RNA, 253 nt
Filed under: uncultured bacterium
Lineage: Bacteria
Description: partial 16S ribosomal RNA
Rfam family: Bacterial small subunit ribosomal RNA
Source: RNAcentral